Zea mays is the source of this 3461-nucleotide RNA transcript. It is a transcript of the gene named 60S ribosomal protein L11, with no coding region annotated. Lineage: Eukaryota; Viridiplantae; Streptophyta; Magnoliopsida; Poales; Poaceae. The transcript is spliced from 9 exons. The record is from RefSeq and is a predicted model, not a curated record.
AUCUCAAACCCUAGGCUUCUCAGAUUUCCUCACCCCUCAUCUCUCCUCCCGUGCCGUUGCCUCGCAUCGUCAUCUUCCUCCGUGUGCUGCCGCUACCGCGACCCCCCUGCCUGCUCGCCUCCACGGCCACACGGAGGCCCCCCUUGUUGCUCUCGGUUCUCACUCCUCUCUUUUUCCUGUGUUGUCGCCCCGCCCCCAUGGUCUUCUUCCUCGUGCCAGCACCGGCCCUAUGCCCCCUCCUUGCUCACCUCCAUGGCCUCACGGAAGCGGACCUUGCCGCGAGUGGUUCUCAGUUCUCCUCACCUCCUCCUCUCUCCUUUCAGGAUAUGUCUUGCCACCACCGGCGUCGCUGGCGCCGGCCGUCCACGCAACCUAGACGCGAGAGCUGGCGCUGGCCGGAGCUGCACAAGGUGUCGCUGCUGGAGCAGCGGACGACGGCGAAGGCGCUGCAGCAGCACCUGGUGCUGGCGCUACACUACUUCUUCCCCAUCUUCUACAAAAUCAAAAUAGCAGUUUCAAGUACCAGAUGAUGCAAGGCUUUCAGCCAGAAGCCCAGAAGUGUAGCUGUUCUCUGAAAUCUUUGCCAAAAGGUUAAUUUCAUUCUGCCUUGCAUGCUACCUGUUUAGCAUGAUCGUUAGUUUAUUCGCUAACAAAAAACUUUGCUGAAUGGAUGACUUCCUUCUGAGAAGACUGAACUGAAUAAUUAUGUCAAAGUUGUUUUAGUAGUUUGGAUGACCAGCAACAUUUGCACUUGUCCAUGCUGAUGGCACUACAACAUUCCUAGGUAAGGCCUUAAAGUUCAUCAAAGAUUAUGGUAAAUCCUUUUUGCAUAUUUUAAUAAUUCAGUACAUGUUUGUUAAGAUAAUGGCUGUAGUUUUCUCAAGAGAUGUGUGGAGAUGUGUCUAGCAUAUGAUUAAGGUAUAACAGUAUAACACAGUUUCAGUGUCUACACUCAAUCCAUCCACUUGGCUUUGUUUGGUUGAUAUCUUUUUGUUCUUGCAUAAUGGAUUAGUUCAUGGAUGGCAUCUCGAUUUUGCUCUGUGCAAAUGUGUGGUGGUACACACUUCACAACAUAGUUACAUCAUUGAAGAGAAUCGUGACUACAAUGAGUGGAACUGCACUAUCACUAUAGGUCUAUAGCAAUAGAGUUAUGAAGGAACUUUAUCAUUCACUGACUCACAAUUGCUGCAUGUUUUAUAUAAUGAGUUUUUGGUUGAUGGAGCUCGGGUUGUGGGUAAUAGAUGCAUCCAGUCAGAUCGUGUUCACUUGGGAAAGGGUACAUGGAUUUUGUGCUGAACACAAACUUACAAAGGCACAUGUCUUAACUCUUAAUACAAGUUUUUGCUUAAUGAGUUCAUGUGAGUACCAAUGUUCAUAUCAAACUUUGGUGAAUAUUCACCUUUCGCAUAACAAUUCUUAGUUUCAAUAGAUUAGCGUGUUUCAUGGACAUGGAAUGGAGAAGAUCUACCCCCUCCUGAUACAUGUGUACUGCCUGGCACGCAUGUUGUUAUUGCAUCACUGAGCAGGAAGUUCCCUUUUCAGGUCUAUAAAGAAAGUGUGCAAGUUCUAUUCUUCACUGUUUUUUGGCUACAUUUACUGAAAUAUGACCUUUGUUCAUAUGAUCUACUGAUAAUUCUUCGACCUUUCAAUUUCACAAAACUGGCAACUAUUUUUAUGCUCUCCAUCCUACCAAAAGUAUACAUUGUCUUUCUACUACUUAGACCUGGGUAUGAGCAAGUCUGUUGCAUUUCUAUUCUGUCAACUACUUAUACAUGCACUACAUUAUGUAUUUAACUUUUAAGAAGAUCAAGCAGAUGUUUGGUAAUCAAAGCACUUGUUUUUGAUAGAGACAUGCAUUCUUUUUCCUUAAAUUGAUUUUAAGGUACCGAAUAACUAAGGGUUUCUUAAGUAGGAGCAAGUGAACUAGUAAAAAUGUGAAAUUAUUUAUUCUGAACUGCUAACUCUGUAUUGUGAUGACUUGCAGGCUCCUUGAUGCCAUAAAAGAAUAUUACUGAAAUGCCUUCUGCUUGUUCAUUCGAUUCACAUAUAUUGGGUGCACCCAUAAGGCGAGGGCAUCUAUCACAAAAGUCUGUCAUGAAGCGAAAGAGAUCUUCAAAGAGACAAAAGGCCAAGUUGGUCAUGGAAAGCUUGAAAUUUUAUUGCAUGGCGUCGGAGAAGAAGCAGUCGAACCCGAUGCGGGAGAUGAAGGUCCAGAAGCUCGCGCUCAACAUCUCCGUCAGCGAGAGCGGUGAUCGCCUCACCCGCGCCGCCAAGGUACUGGAGCAGCUGAGCGACCAGUCACCGGUAUUCUCCAAGGCAAGGUACACUGUGAGGUCGUUUGGGAUCCGGCGCAAUGAGAAGAUCGCAUGCUAUGUGACGGUGCAGGGUGAGAAGGCAAUGCAGCUGCUGGAGAGUGGCUUGAAGGUGAAGGAGAACGAGCUGCUGAGGAGGAACUUCAGUGACACUGGUUGCUUUGGAUUUGGUAUCCAAGAGCACAUUGAUCUUGGCAUCAAGCGUCGGAGAAGAAGCAGUCGAACCCGAUGCGGGAGAUGAAGGUCCAGAAGCUCGUGCUCAACAUCUCCGUCGGCGAGAGCGGUGAUCGCCUCACCGGCGCCGCCAAGUGACACGACCUUGACAGUCAAUAUGCUCUUUCAGGUUAUUUUCUCCUGAAACCACUUCUUUUGCCAUCUCCUAAUGUUAUGGUCCCAGUUACAUCUCCAUUCAUUGCAGGAGAUGGUCCCAGUUACUUUACAUGGUUCUGUUGGACACAAUGAAGCCAUCCAGAUAUGCUAUUAAAAAUCCUGCUAGUCAUUAUGGCUUUAAACUGUACCAUGUCUGUUCUAUUUUCAGCUAGGCAGAGCAUGUUCUAUUUACAGCAGGCCAGCAGACACCAGGCAGUAAUGUGAUGUAUGAGUCAAUUAUCAGGAUGGAAAUGUUUUUUGGCAGCUUUCUCAGUGAAUCAGUAUCACCGCAGAACCUUUUUGGACACCUAGAUGUCGAGAGAUGCCCAUUCCUGAGGAAUAUCAAUGGAGCUACAACCUUUUCCCUCUCUUCUGCUUUGCCAGUAGCUGCUCAAGGAGGCAAGGGUCCAAUUUUUGAGGAAGGGUCAGGCUUUGAGUCAGCAUUCAAGCUUUUUCAUGGCCGAGAUGGAAUAGUUCCCCUUUCAGAAAGAUCAUAUGUAUCUGAUGAAAACCACAAUGAGAGCAUUGACGUCAAGUUAUAUACUUAGUUAGGCUCAAUUUAGAGUACACUUAUGUAGAGUACACUUAUUUAUAUUGAACUGUCGGAGUUCAUACAUAUGUAUUAAGUUAUAUACUUAGUUAGGCUCAAUGUUAGCACAAACAGUUGAUGAGCAACUUUAAAUUUAGAAUACACUUAUGUAUGAGUUAUUUGACAAUGCUUAUUUAUGAGAUAUUGAAUGUUAUUUAUCUAUAUUAUAUUAAUUAUAGUGUUAUUAAAUA